GAAUACAAUGAAAGUUCUCCUUCUCUAGAGUGAUACAAGUUUAUAUUUAUUUUUGAUCUUAAUCAAAAAACUCACAAUGAAUGCAGAAGAGAGAUUGAAGUAUUGAAUGCUAUCAAGGAAACAAGUUUUGAACACUUCAAUAUCUCCCUAACAACCUCAAAGGUUGUUUUUUAAAGCCCAAAAGUGAAUAGAGACGUUGCAGCAUUUAGUGCACUGAGAAAAGUCGUUCUGAUUUGAUAUCAGCUGUUGGAUCUAUGAUUUUGACGUGCCAGAUUAAAAUUCAAAACUUUUGUCGUGCGAUUCGAUCAAUCGAAGUUCAUCUUCGGUCGAUUUUGAACUGAAUUUCUAGUGGCUUUGUAAACUGCUCUGUUUUAUUUUCUUGAACUUCGGUCGUCCCCAAAAUUAGACUUCAGUCGACCGAACUUAAGUUCGGUCGUGGUUGAACUGCAUUUCUAGAGGCUUGCCUAGUUGCUUUGUUUUGCCUUUUAACUUCAACUGUCCUGCCUUAAACAUUCGUCUGUGCUUGAACUUUGGCUGAGCAACCUUGAACUUCGGUCAACUGAAGUUAGAGUUCGGUCGUCAAAAGCCUUCAUUACCAGAUAGCAUACCUUUGCAAAUAAUUUAUAAGAGUUCCUGGCUUUCGGCUGUACUUGAACUUCGGUCUUAAAACUUCGGUCGUGCCGAUUUCAACUU
RNAcentral lists this long non-coding RNA (693 nucleotides) under Actinidia chinensis (golden kiwifruit). RNAcentral describes it as "long non-coding RNA (ACHI_LNC008854)". Lineage: Eukaryota; Viridiplantae; Streptophyta; Magnoliopsida; Ericales; Actinidiaceae. The record is from RNAcentral.